Molecule: ribosomal RNA, 254 nt
Filed under: uncultured bacterium
Lineage: Bacteria
Description: partial 16S ribosomal RNA
Rfam family: Bacterial small subunit ribosomal RNA
Source: RNAcentral
UACAGAGGUGGCAAGCGUUGUUCGGAAUUACUGGGCGUAAAGGGCGCGUAGGCGGUCUUCUAAGUCAUGUGUGAAAUCCCUCGGCUCAACUGAGGAACUGCACGGGAUACUGGAAGACUUGAGUUCGGGAGAGGGAAGCGGAAUUCCGGGUGUAGCGGUGAAAUGCGUAGAUAUCCGGAGGAACACCGGUGGCGAAGGCGGCUUCCUGGACCGAUUACUGACGCUGAGGCGCGAAAGCCAGGGGAGCAAACAGG